AUGGGUAAUCCUGCUGAGGCUCCCAAGCCCUAUCAAUGGAUAUGGAAAUCAUGUACCCUUCCUAAGCAGAAAUUCUUUUUCUGGCUUCUGUUACAGGACAUAUUGAAUACUAGGGACCUACUAAGCAGGAAAAAUUUCUACAUUGAGACAAGUAAAUGUGUGUUAUGUGAUGAUGAGCCUAAUGAACAUCUAAUGCACCUUUUCUUUAGCUGUGAUUUCAGUCAAUUUUUUUGGAUGAACAUUGGCUAUCAAUGGGAUACUGAUCAUAACCUCACAAAAAUGCUCCUGGGGGGCAAAAGGCAGAAUACCUCUGGUUGCUUCAAAGAAUGCCUGAUUGCUGGAUGCUGGAGUUUAUGGAAGCACAGGAAUAGCAUCAUAUUUGACCACAAGACCAAGAAUAUGGCAUACUGCUUGGCCACUUUCAAGGAACAUUUCUCCAUGAUCAUAAAGAAGGCUAAACCUGGAUUAAAGGAGGGCAUGCAAAGUUGGCUAGACUACUUGUAG
RNAcentral lists this ribosomal RNA (504 nucleotides) under Triticum aestivum (bread wheat). RNAcentral describes it as "partial small subunit ribosomal RNA". Lineage: Eukaryota; Viridiplantae; Streptophyta; Magnoliopsida; Poales; Poaceae. The record is from RNAcentral.